UGUCUUUAGAUGUAUGCUCAGAGACUAUGUUAGUGUGACGGAGCCAUUCAUCACCAUGUAUAAAAGAUACAUCUACGAAAGAAGAUACUUCUGAAUCUGUGAGUUGUUUCCCAAACAAAACCCUCUCUUUGUAAUCUGUUCCCGUCCAUAACAUUUAUGCUCUCCAAAAGUCAUCGUCCUAAAAUAUAAAACCCAUACAAGACAUAAAUAAGGUCUUUUAUGUGUAUUCUAAGAUGUGUAUGUAGUCGCUUACUUUUCUAUGGUCGAGUCUCCCCAGUUAUUCCAUCCUUCUGGAGUAAUGAUUCCAGACAUGUGAGUAUUUGAGAACACAACCGUAGCAUAGGCUCAUGAUAUGUCUAUAAUUUGCAUGAUUUAGGCAUUCAUUCUUCACCACUUUGUCAUUGAUUCAU
Molecule: small RNA, 410 nt
Filed under: Arabidopsis thaliana (thale cress)
Lineage: Eukaryota; Viridiplantae; Streptophyta; Magnoliopsida; Brassicales; Brassicaceae
Description: putative long intergenic non-coding RNA
Source: RNAcentral